Molecule: long non-coding RNA, 491 nt
Organism: Hevea brasiliensis (rubber tree)
Lineage: Eukaryota; Viridiplantae; Streptophyta; Magnoliopsida; Malpighiales; Euphorbiaceae
Exons: 3
Source: RefSeq, a predicted model, not a curated record
AAAUCCGGCCGAUCCGGCCACCAAUUGAACCGGGUCUUGUGUCCAAAAUCAUCUACUCGGCGAGAGCUUUCCAUAGACACCAAGAACGCCGAAAUCCAUCGAGCGGAUUGUCCGAUUUUUGCUCGGGAAGAUUUUAGCCCAUUUCGACUUUUGGGCUAGAUUUCUCGAAAACCGUGAAUCCCACGAGAAAACCGAGGCCACCAGCACGCUCCAUUCGUCAAGAGCUUCGCAACGACAUAAAUUUCGAAUUUUUCCGACAUCGUUUUUCGGUAUCCUCGAUUCGCGGAAAUUCGACAGUUGACCGGGUCUGCAAAUUUCGGGCCAGACAGACCCGUUACCGGAAAAGUCUCCGAAUUGGACCGAGGUUUUGGCUAGCCCCCCAUUGUCAGAUGUCCCGAGCGCGUUCCCGAAGUCGGAAUCGGCAAAGGUGAGCCAGGACAGCCUUCUUCCUCCGCCCAGCCGCCACAGUAAUUUGUCGUCAAGUUUGUAAG